AAUAGAUACCCGGGUAGUCCACGCCGUAAACGAUGAGUGCUAAGUGUUAGAGGGUUUCCGCCCUUUAGUGCUGCAGCUAACGCAUUAAGCACUCCGCUUGGGGAGUACGGUCGCAAGACUGAAACUCAAAGGAAUUGACGGGGGCCCGCACAAGCGGUGGAGCAUGUGGUUUAAUUCGAAGCAACGCGAAGAACCUUACCAGGUCUUGACAUCCUCUGACAACUCUAGAGAUAGAGCGUUCCCCUUCGGGGGACAGAGUGACAGGUGGUGCAUGGUUGUCGUCAGCUCGUGUCGUGAGAUGUUGGGUUAAGUCCCGCAACGAGCGCAACCCUUGAUCUUAGUUGCCAGCAUUUAGUUGGGCACUCUAAGGUGACUGCCGGUGACAAACCGGAGGAAGGUGGGGAUGACGUCAAAUCAUCAUGCCCCUUAUGACCUGGGCUACACACGUGCUACAAUGGAUGGUACAAAGGGCUGCAAGACCGCGAGGUCAAGCCAAUCCCAUAAAACCAUUCUCAGUUCGGA
RNAcentral lists this ribosomal RNA (522 nucleotides) under uncultured bacterium. Its description in RNAcentral is "bacterial SSU rRNA". It matches the Rfam family "Bacterial small subunit ribosomal RNA", at positions 777 to 1297 of the family's 1533-position model. The record is from RNAcentral.